RNAcentral lists this long non-coding RNA (339 nucleotides) under Mus pahari (shrew mouse). RNAcentral describes it as "lncRNA (MGP_PahariEiJ_G0004594.1)". The record is from RNAcentral. Lineage: Eukaryota; Metazoa; Chordata; Mammalia; Rodentia; Muridae.
AAGACUAGGAAGACGAGUUGCAAGUGGCCAUGGAGUGAAAGAGGACAGAUCGUGGUUUAGAGCUGAGCUCAGUGGCGCUUUUGAUGCUGAGACCUCAGAAAUGUAAGCUCAACAAAACCUGCCAGUGAGUGUUGCUUUUCCUCGUCACAUAUCACAAUGGAGGUGGAGCCCAUCAAAAGUGAAGUCACCAAGAAUGCUGAUUAGAGAGGCAGGAGUGAUGGCUCAGUGGUAAAGAGGACUUACUGCUCUUCCAGGGGAUCUGCGCCAGGACCUGCUGCUCUCUUCUGGCUUCCAUGGGUAUCCACAGGCACUUAUGGACGUCCUCACAUGCUCGCUGUC